AGAGAGGGAAAUCUGUGAGAGAUAAUAAGGGAAACCAAAAGAUGUUAUACCAGGAAGCAGUUUGAAAGAAGGAAGCUGAUUUCAGAGCACCUCCUUACUUCCUGUUCUCCUCACUAAUCAACCUAAUGAAGUUUGCCUCACAGAUGGAUUAGGUGAAUACCUAUGAAAAAUUCCUGGUGGUUCAAGAGAUAGCAGGAGAAAUUUUUAAGGAACAGAGAUGGCUUCAAAAACAACAGCACCUUGACACAAAGCAGUAA
This 257-nucleotide long non-coding RNA is filed under the name Monodelphis domestica (gray short-tailed opossum). RNAcentral's name for it is "lncRNA (ENSMODG00000041477.1)". Lineage: Eukaryota; Metazoa; Chordata; Mammalia; Didelphimorphia; Didelphidae. The record is from RNAcentral.